This 1249-nucleotide ribosomal RNA is filed under the name Candidatus Levybacteria bacterium GW2011_GWA1_39_32. RNAcentral describes it as "bacterial SSU rRNA". It matches the Rfam family "Bacterial small subunit ribosomal RNA". The record is from RNAcentral. Lineage: Bacteria; Candidatus Levyibacteriota.
UUUGAGAGUUUGAUCCUGGCUCAGGAUGAACGCUGGCGGCGUGCCUUAGGCAUGCAAGUCGAACGAAUUUCCGCAAGGAAAUGAGUGGCAGACGGGUGAGUAACGCGUAGGAAUCUACCCCUGGGAGGACCAUAGCCCCUCGAAAGAGGGGGUAAUAGUCCAUACCCCGCAAGGGAAAAGCAAUUAACUUUGCGCCGAGCACGGGCAGUACACCUACGGGUGGCAGCAACUAGGAAUAUUGCGCAAUGGGGGAAACCCUGACGCAGCGACGCCGCGUGGAGGAAGAAGGUCUAUGGAUUGUAAACUCCUUUUGCCAAGCCGUUCACAGCUUGGAGAAUAAGCUCCUACUAACUACGUGCCAGAAGUCUCGGUAAUACGUAGGGAGCAAGCGUUAUCCGGAUUCAUUGGGCGUAAAGUGUGCGUAGGCGGCUUGAUGAGUCUCUUCUUAAAUACCAAAGCUUAACUUUGGAAGUGGGAGAGAUACUAUCAAGCUUAGAGGAUUGAUCGGGAUGCUGGAACAGUUAGUGUAGCAGUGAAAUGCGUUGAUAUUAACUGGAACACCAAAGGCGAAGGCAGGCAUCUGGGUUUUUCCUGACGCUGAGGCGAAAGCUAGGGCAGCGAAACAGAUUAGAGACCUGUGUAGUAAGGAAUUGACGGGGACCCGCACAACCGGUGGAGCGUGUGGUUCAAUUCGAGACAAAACGAAGAACCUCACCAGGGUUUGACAUAAUACCGUACAUUUUUCAAGAAACUGAAAGAAAUCCGCAAGGAUGGUACUACAGGUGCUGCAUGGCUGUCAUCAGUUCGUGCCGUGAGGUGUUCCCUUAAGUGGGGAAACGAACGCAACCCGCGCCAAAUGUUAAAUAUUCAUUUGGGACUGUCCCGAGUUUUCUCGGGAAGGAAGGAGCGGCAGAUGUCAAGUCAGCACGGCCCUUAUACCCUGGGCUACACACACACUACAAUGGCGAAAAACAAUGUGUUGCAAGCCGGUAACGGCAAGCUAAUCACUGAAAUUUCGCCCCAGUUCAGAUUGUGGGCUGAAACUCGCCCACAUGAAGUCGGAAUCGGUAGUAAUCGCGGAUCAGCAAGCCGCGGUGAAUACGUUCUCGGGUCUUGUACACACCGCCCGUCAAGGCAGCAAAGUCGGUAACUAUCGAACUGCGUUUACGCGUGGGAGAUAGAGAUUGGCGAUGAAGCUUAAGUCGUAACAAGGUAUCCCUAGCCGAAGCUGGGGAUGGAUCACCUCCUU